RNAcentral lists this transfer RNA (65 nucleotides) under Hemiphyllodactylus ganoklonis (Palauan slender gecko). RNAcentral describes it as "tRNA-Cys". The record is from RNAcentral. Lineage: Eukaryota; Metazoa; Chordata; Lepidosauria; Squamata; Gekkonidae.
AGCCCGUGUGGUGAUUUCACGCCAAACUGCAAAUUUGGAGAAGCUCCCCAUAGGAGCCGGGGCUU